This 84-nucleotide transfer RNA is filed under the name Candidatus Woesebacteria bacterium. RNAcentral describes it as "tRNA-Tyr". It matches the Rfam family "tRNA". Rfam says of the family: Transfer RNA (tRNA) molecules are approximately 80 nucleotides in length. Their secondary structure includes four short double-helical elements and three loops (D, anti-codon, and T loops). The record is from RNAcentral. Lineage: Bacteria; Candidatus Woeseibacteriota.
GCUGAGUUACUCAAGUGGCCAACGAGGGCAGACUGUAAAUCUGCUGGGCUUAGCCCUACGUAGGUUCGAAUCCUACACUCAGCA